Molecule: ribosomal RNA, 422 nt
Filed under: uncultured bacterium
Lineage: Bacteria
Description: bacterial SSU rRNA
Rfam family: Bacterial small subunit ribosomal RNA
Source: RNAcentral
UAAGGAAUAUUGGUCAGUGGACGCAAGUCUGAACCAGCCAUGCCGCGUGGAGGAUGAAGGCCCUCUGGGUUGUAAACUUCUUUUAUCUGGGAAGAAACCCAUCUUUUCUAAGGUGGUUGACGGUACCAGUUGAAUAAGCACCGGCUAACUCCGUGCCAGCAGCCGCGGUAAUACGGAGGGUGCAAGCGUUAUCCGGAUUCACUGGGUUUAAAGGGUGCGUAGGUGGGCAGGUAAGUCAGUGGUGAAAUCUCUGGGCUUAACCCAGAAACUGCCGUUGAUACUAUCUGUCGUGAAUAUAGUGGAGGUGAGCGGAAUAUGUCAUGUAGCGGUGAAAUGCUUAGAUAUGACAUAGAACACCAAUGGCGAAGGCAGCUCGCUACACUAUCAUUGACACUGAGGCACGAAAGAGUGGGGAUCAAACA